GACGAACGCUGGCGGCGUGCCUAAUACAUGCAAGUAGAACGCUGAAGAGAGGAGCUUGCUCUUCUUGGAUGAGUUGCGAACGGGUGAGUAACGCGUAGGUAACCUGCCUGGUAGCGGGGGAUAACUAUUGGAAACGAUAGCUAAUACCGCAUAAAAUGGAUUAUCGCAUGAUAAUCCAUUGAAAGGUGCAAAUGCAUCACUACCAGAUGGACCUGCGUUGUAUUAGCUAGUUGGUGGGGUAACGGCUCACCAAGGCGACGAUACAUAGCCGACCUGAGAGGGUGAUCGGCCACACUGGGACUGAGACACGGCCCAGACUCCUACGGGAGGCAGCAGUAGGGAAUCUUCGGCAAUAGACGGAAGUCUGACCGAGCAACGCCGCGGGAGUGAAGAAGGUUUUCGGAUCGUAAAGCUCUGUUGUAAGAGAAGAACGAGUGUGAGAGUGGAAAGUUCACACUGUGACGGUAUCUUACCAGAAAGGGACGGCUAACUACGUG
This 497-nucleotide ribosomal RNA is filed under the name uncultured bacterium. RNAcentral's name for it is "partial 16S ribosomal RNA". It matches the Rfam family "Bacterial small subunit ribosomal RNA", at positions 28 to 507 of the family's 1533-position model. The record is from RNAcentral.